RNAcentral lists this long non-coding RNA (346 nucleotides) under Elaeis guineensis (African oil palm). RNAcentral describes it as "long non-coding RNA (EGUI_LNC055068)". Lineage: Eukaryota; Viridiplantae; Streptophyta; Magnoliopsida; Arecales; Arecaceae. The record is from RNAcentral.
CAUCGGGUGUGCCAAAGGCAUCCUCCAACACUUGAAGCAUGUCCUUGGCUGAGCCAUCUCGAAUCUGCGACUGAACUCGUCGCUCAUAGUAGCCAGCAUGAUACAGCGCACCGUGGUCCGAUCACUGAGCCACUUCUGGUAAGUGUCUCUGACUGUUCCACGUGCAUUGACAGCUGGCUCCUCAGGUGCAGGAUCCAUUAUCACAUAUAGGAUCCGUUCAUGCUUCAGGACUAUCUUCAACUUUCGGUACCAGCUACCGAAGUUGGGUCCCACCAACUUAUCAUUGUCCAACAAUGAUCGGAGCAAUAGGAAAGUGGCCAUAUUUGCACAAAAGAAAACCAUAACC